GACGAACGCUGGCGGCGUGCUUAACACAUGCAAGUCGAACGGUAAGGCCCUUUCGGGGGUACACGAGUGGCGAACGGGUGAGUAACACGUGGGUGAUCUGCCCUGCACUUUGGGAUAAGCCUGGGAAACUGGGUCUAAUACCGGAUAGGACUACGCGAUGCAUGUCGUGUGGUGGAAAGCUGUUGCGGUGUGGGAUGGGCCCGCGGCCUAUCAGCUUGUUGGUGGGGUGAUGGCCUACCAAGGCGACGACGGGUAGCCGGCCUGAGAGGGUGUCCGGCCACACUGGGACUGAGAUACGGCGCAGACUCCUACGGGAGGCAGCAGUGGGGAAUAUUGCACAAUGGGCGCAAGCCUGAUGCAGCGACGCCGCGUGGGGGAUGACGGCCUUCGGGUUGUAAACCCCAUUCAGCACAGACGAAGCGUAAGUGACGGUAGGUGCAGAAGAAGCACCGGCCAACUACGUG
This 464-nucleotide ribosomal RNA is filed under the name uncultured bacterium. RNAcentral describes it as "partial 16S ribosomal RNA". It matches the Rfam family "Bacterial small subunit ribosomal RNA", at positions 28 to 507 of the family's 1533-position model. The record is from RNAcentral.